RNAcentral lists this ribosomal RNA (609 nucleotides) under Allophoma tropica. Its description in RNAcentral is "partial large subunit ribosomal RNA". It matches the Rfam family "Eukaryotic large subunit ribosomal RNA", at positions 52 to 664 of the family's 3401-position model. The record is from RNAcentral. Lineage: Eukaryota; Fungi; Ascomycota; Dothideomycetes; Pleosporales; Didymellaceae.
GGUGGGGAAGAACCACAGGGAUUGCCCUAGUAACGGCGAGUGAAGCGGCAACAGCUCAAAUUUGAAAUCUGGCGUCUUCGGCGUCCGAGUUGUAAUUUGCAGAGGGCGCUUUGGCAUUGGCAGCGGUCCAAGUUCCUUGGAACAGGACGUCACAGAGGGUGAGAAUCCCGUACGUGGUCGCUAGCCUUUACCGUGUAAAGCCCCUUCGACGAGUCGAGUUGUUUGGGAAUGCAGCUCUAAAUGGGAGGUAAAUUUCUUCUAAAGCUAAAUACUGGCCAGAGACCGAUAGCGCACAAGUAGAGUGAUCGAAAGAUGAAAAGCACUUUGGAAAGAGAGUUAAAAAGCACGUGAAAUUGUUGAAAGGGAAGCGCUUGCAGCCAGACUUGCCUGUAGUUGCUCAUCCGGGUUUCUACCCGGUGCACUCUUCUAUAGGCAGGCCAGCAUCAGUUUGGGCGGUUGGAUAAAGGUCUCUGUCAUGUACCUCCUCUCGGGGAGAACUUAUAGGGGAGACGACAUGCAACCAGCCCGGACUGAGGUCCGCGCAUCUGCUAGGAUGCUGGCGUAAUGGCUGUAAGCGGCCCGUCUUGAAACACGGGACCCCAAGGGAAA